UCCAGACUCCUACGGGAGGCAGCAGUGAGGAAUAUUGGUCAAUGGUCGGGAGACUGAACCAGCCAAGCCGCGUGAGGGAUGAAGGUACAGAGUAUCGUAAACCUCUUUUGUCAGGGAACAAAGGCGGGGACGUGUCCCCGGAUGAGUGUACCUGAAGAAAAAGCAUCGGCUAACUCCGUGCCAGCAGCCGCGGUAAUACGGAGGAUGCGAGCGUUAUCCGGAAUCAUUGGGCGUAAAGCGUUCGUAGGCGGCAAGGUAAGUCUGAUGUUAAAGCCCGGGGCUCAACUCCGGUUCGGCAUUGGAUACUAUCUAGCUAGAAUGUGGUAGAGGUAAAGGGAAUUCCUGGUGUAGCGGUGAAAUGCGUAGAUAUCAGGAGGAACAUCGGUGGCGAAAGCGCUUUACUGGACCAUUAUUGACGCUGAGGAACGAAAGCCAGGGGAGCAAAUGGGAUUAGAUACCCGUGUA
Molecule: ribosomal RNA, 465 nt
Filed under: uncultured bacterium
Lineage: Bacteria
Description: bacterial SSU rRNA
Rfam family: Bacterial small subunit ribosomal RNA
Source: RNAcentral